This 462-nucleotide ribosomal RNA is filed under the name uncultured organism. Its description in RNAcentral is "partial 16S ribosomal RNA". It matches the Rfam family "Bacterial small subunit ribosomal RNA", at positions 330 to 800 of the family's 1533-position model. The record is from RNAcentral.
CGUACACUCCUACGGGAGGCAGCAGUGGGGAAUAUUGCACAAUGGGCGCAAGCCUGAUGCAGCGACGCCGCGUGGGGGAUGAAGGCCUUCGGGUUGUAAACUCCCUUCGCUAGGGACGAAGCUUUUUUGUGACGGUACCUAGAUAAGAAGCACCGGCUAACUACGUGCCAGCAGCCGCGGUAAUACGUAGGGUGCGAGCGUUGUCCGGAAUUACUGGGCGUAAAGGGCUCGUAGGUGGUUUGUCGCGUCGUCUGUGAAAUUCUGGGGCUUAACUCCGGGCGUGCAGGCGAUACGGGCAUAACUUGAGUGCUGUAGGGGUAACUGGAAUUCCUGGUGUAGCGGUGAAAUGCGCAGAUAUCAGGAGGAACACCGAUGGCGAAGGCAGGUUACUGGGCAGUUACUGACGCUGAGGAGCGAAAGCAUGGGUAGCGAACAGGAUUAGAUACCCUAGUAGUCCCAUGA